UGGGAAAUUUUGGACAAUGGGCGAAAGCCUGAUCCAGCAAUGCCGCGUGUGUGAAGAAGGCCUUCGGGUUGUAAAGCACUUUUGUCCGGAAAGAAAUCCUUGGCUCUAAUACAGUCGGGGGAUGACGGUACCGGAAGAAUAAGCACCGGCUAACUACGUGCCAGCAGCCGCGGUAAUACGUAGGGUGCAAGCGUUAAUCGGAAUUACUGGGCGUAAAGCGUGCGCAGGCGGUUUGCUAAGACCGAUGUGAAAUCCCCGGGCUCAACCUGGGAACUGCAUUGGUGACUGGCAGGCUAGAGUAUGGCAGAGGGGGGUAGAAUUCCACGUGUAGCAGUGAAAUGCGUAGAGAUGUGGAGGAAUACCGAUGGCGAAGGCAGCCCCCUGGGCCAAUACUGACGCUCAUGCACGAAAGCGUGGGGAGCAAACAGGAUUAGAUACCCUGGUAGUCCACGCCCUAAACGAUGUCAACUAGUUGUUGGGGAUUCAUUUCCUUAGUAACGUAGCUAACGCGUGAAGUUGACCGCCUGGGGAGUACGGUCGCAAGAUUAAAACUCAAAUGAAUUGACGGGGUCAUAGCUG
RNAcentral lists this ribosomal RNA (579 nucleotides) under uncultured bacterium. RNAcentral's name for it is "partial 16S ribosomal RNA". It matches the Rfam family "Bacterial small subunit ribosomal RNA", at positions 355 to 932 of the family's 1533-position model. The record is from RNAcentral.